This 304-nucleotide ribosomal RNA is filed under the name Salmonella enterica. RNAcentral's name for it is "partial 16S ribosomal RNA". It matches the Rfam family "Bacterial small subunit ribosomal RNA", at positions 1 to 303 of the family's 1533-position model. The record is from RNAcentral. RNAcentral also lists the same sequence under 1 other name. Lineage: Bacteria; Pseudomonadati; Pseudomonadota; Gammaproteobacteria; Enterobacterales; Enterobacteriaceae.
AAAUUGAAGAGUUUGAUCAUGGCUCAGAUUGAACGCUGGCGGCAGGCCUAACACAUGCAAGUCGAACGGUAGCACAGAGAGCUUGCUCUCGGGUGACGAGUGGCGGACGGGUGAGUAAUGUCUGGGAAACUGCCCGAUGGAGGGGGAUAACUACUGGAAACGGUAGCUAAUACCGCAUAACGUCGCAAGACCAAAGUGGGGGACCUUCGGGCCUCACACCAUCGGAUGUGCCCAGAUGGGAUUAGCUAGUAGGUGGGGUAACGGCUCACCUAGGCGACGAUCCCUAGCUGGUCUGAGAGGAUGA